AUAUACUUGGUAACGCAGCUAACGCGUGAAGUAGACCGCCUGGGGAGUACGGUCGCAAGAUUAAAACUCAAAGGAAUUGACGGGGACCCGCACAAGCGGUGGAUGAUGUGGAUUAAUUCGAUGCAACGCGAAAAACCUUACCUACCCUUGACAUGUACGGAAGACCGAAGAGAUUUGGUUGUGCUCGAAAGAGAACCGUAACACAGGUGCUGCAUGGCUGUCGUCAGCUCGUGUCGUGAGAUGUUGGGUUAAGUCCCGCAACGAGCGCAACCCUUGUCAUUAGUUGCUACGAAAGGGCACUCUAAUGAGACUGCCGGUGACAAACCGGAGGAAGGUGGGGAUGACGUCAAGUCCUCAUGGCCCUUAUGGGUAGGGCUUCACACGUCAUACAAUGGUACAUACAGAGCGCCGCCAACCCGCGAGGGGGAGCUAAUCGCAGAAAGUGUAUCGUAGUCCGGAUUGUAGUCUGCAACUCGACUACAUGAAGUUGGAAUCGCUAGUAAUCGCGGAUCAGCAUGUCGCGGUGAAUACGUUCCCGGGUCUUGUACACACCGCCCGUCACACCAUGGGAGCGGGUUUUACCAGAAGUAGGUAGCUUAACCGCAAGGAGGGCGCUUACCACGGUAGGAUUCGUGACUGGGGUGAAGUCGUAACAAGGUAGCCGUAUCGGAAGGUGC
RNAcentral lists this ribosomal RNA (677 nucleotides) under uncultured bacterium. RNAcentral's name for it is "bacterial SSU rRNA". It matches the Rfam family "Bacterial small subunit ribosomal RNA", at positions 834 to 1515 of the family's 1533-position model. The record is from RNAcentral.